UUCUUAUUAGUAUAUACCUAGUACAUUUGCCUUCCAAGCAGAAAGUCCUAUAUUAAGGUUAAGAAA
Molecule: transfer RNA, 66 nt
Filed under: Odontoglaja guamensis
Lineage: Eukaryota; Metazoa; Mollusca; Gastropoda; Cephalaspidea; Aglajidae
Description: tRNA-Gly
Source: RNAcentral